Molecule: ribosomal RNA, 1148 nt
Filed under: Escherichia coli
Lineage: Bacteria; Pseudomonadati; Pseudomonadota; Gammaproteobacteria; Enterobacterales; Enterobacteriaceae
Description: partial 23S ribosomal RNA
Rfam family: Bacterial large subunit ribosomal RNA
Source: RNAcentral
GGUUAAGCGAGUAAGCGUACACGGUGGAUGCCCUGGCAGUCAGAGGCGAUGAAGGACGUGCUAAUCUGCGAUAAGCGUCGGUAAGGUGAUAUGAACCGUUAUAACCGGCGAUUUCCGAAUGGGGAAACCCAGUGUGUUUCGACACACUAUCAUUAACUGAAUCCAUAGGUUAAUGAGGCGAACCGGGGGAACUGAAACAUCUAAGUACCCCGAGGAAAAGAAAUCAACCGAGAUUCCCCCAGUAGCGGCGAGCGAACGGGGAGCAGCCCAGAGCCUGAAUCAGUGUGUGUGUUAGUGGAAGCGUCUGGAAAGGCGCGCGAUACAGGGUGACAGCCCCGUACACAAAAAUGCACAUACUGUGAGCUCGAUGAGUAGGGCGGGACACGUGGUAUCCUGUCUGAAUAUGGGGGUACCAUCCUCCAAGGCUAAAUACUCCUGACUGACCGAUAGUGAACCAGUACCGUGAGGGAAAGGCGAAAAGAACCCCGGCGAGGGGAGUGAAAAAGAACCUGAAACCGUGUACGUACAAGCAGUGGGAGCCUCUUAAUGGGGUGACUGCGUACCUUUUGUAUAAUGGGUCAGCGACUUAUAUUCUGUAGCAAGGUUAACCGAAUAGGGGAGCCGAAGGGAAACCGAGUCUUAACUGGGCGUUAAGUUGCAGGGUAUAGACCCGAAACCCGGUGAUCUAGCCAUGGGCAGGUUGAAGGUUGGGUAACACUAACUGGAGGACCGAACCGACUAAUGUUGAAAAAUUAGCGGAUGACUUGUGGCUGGGGGUGAAAGGCCAAUCAAACCGGGAGAUAGCUGGUUCUCCCCGAAAGCUAUUUAGGUAGCGCCUCGUGAAUUCAUCUCCGGGGGUAGAGCACUGUUUCGGCAAGGGGGUCAUCCCGACUUACCAACCCGAUGCAAACUGCGAAUACCGGAGAAUGUUAUCACGGGAGACACACGGCGGGUGCUAACGUCCGUCGUGAAGAGGGAAACAACCCAGACCGCCAGCUAAGGUCCCAAAGUCAUGGUUAAGUGGGAAACGAUGUGGGAAGGCCCAGACAGCCAGGAUGUUGGCUUAGAAGCAGCCAUCAUUUAAAGAAAGCGUAAUAGCUCACUGGUCGAGUCGGCCUGCGCGGAAGAUGUAACGGGGCUAAACCAUG